UUCGUAGGCGGCCAACUAAGUCAGACGUGAAAUCCCUCGGCUUAACCGGGGAACUGCGUCUGAUACUGGAUGGCUCGAGUUUGGGAGAGGGAUGCGGAAUUCCAGGUGUAGCGGUGAAAUGCGUAGAUAUCUGGAGGAACACCGGUGGCGAAGGCGGCAUCCUGGACCAACACUGACGCUGAGGAGCGAAAGCCAGGGGAGCAAACG
Molecule: ribosomal RNA, 207 nt
Filed under: uncultured bacterium
Lineage: Bacteria
Description: partial 16S ribosomal RNA
Rfam family: Bacterial small subunit ribosomal RNA
Source: RNAcentral